UACAGAGGUCUCAAGCGUUGUUCGGAUUCAUUGGGCGUAAAGGGCGCGUAGGCUGCGGGGCAAGUCGGGUGUGAAAUCUCAGAGCUCAACUCUGAAACUGCACUCGAUACUGCUUUGCUUGAGGACUGGAGAGGAGAUUGGAAUUCACGGUGUAGCAGUGAAAUGCGUAGAUAUCGUAAGGAAGACCAGUGGCGAAGGCGAAUCUCUGGACAGUUACUGACACUGAGGCACGAAGGCCAGGGGAGCAAACGGG
This 253-nucleotide ribosomal RNA is filed under the name uncultured bacterium. RNAcentral describes it as "partial 16S ribosomal RNA". It matches the Rfam family "Bacterial small subunit ribosomal RNA", at positions 524 to 776 of the family's 1533-position model. The record is from RNAcentral.